UACGUAGGGUGCAAGCGUUGUCCGGAUUUAUUGGGCGUAAAGAGCUCGUAGGCGGCUUUGUAAGUCGGGUGUGAAAACCCCAGGCUCAACCUGGGGACGCCACUCGAUACUGCAAUAGCUAGAGUUUGGUAGGGGAUCACGGAAUUCCUGGUGUAGCGGUGAAAUGCGCAGAUAUCAGGAGGAACACCGGUGGCGAAGGCGGUGAUCUGGGCCAAUACUGACGCUGAGGAGCGAAAGCGUGGGGAGCAAACAGG
RNAcentral lists this ribosomal RNA (254 nucleotides) under uncultured bacterium. Its description in RNAcentral is "partial 16S ribosomal RNA". It matches the Rfam family "Bacterial small subunit ribosomal RNA", at positions 524 to 776 of the family's 1533-position model. The record is from RNAcentral.